UGGAAACUAUUUUCUUAAACUGCGGGAGCC
RNAcentral lists this non-coding RNA (30 nucleotides) under Mus musculus (house mouse). Lineage: Eukaryota; Metazoa; Chordata; Mammalia; Rodentia; Muridae. The record is from RNAcentral.